This 283-nucleotide ribosomal RNA is filed under the name uncultured prokaryote. RNAcentral describes it as "partial 16S ribosomal RNA". It matches the Rfam family "Bacterial small subunit ribosomal RNA", at positions 505 to 786 of the family's 1533-position model. The record is from RNAcentral.
GUGUCAGCCGCCGCGGUAAUACGGAGGGUGCAAGCGUUGUCCGGAAUUACUGGGCGUAAAGAGCUCGUAGGUGGUUUGUCGCGUCGUCUGUGAAAUCCCGGGGCUUAACUCCGGGCGUGCAGGCGAUACGGGCAUAACUUGAGUGCUGUAGGGGAGACUGGAAUUCCUGGUGUAGCGGUGAAAUGCGCAGAUAUCAGGAGGAACACCGAUGGCGAAGGCAGGUCUCUGGGCAGUAACUGAUGCUGAGGAGCGAAAGCAUGGGUAGCGAACAGGAUUAGAAACC